Molecule: transfer RNA, 74 nt
Filed under: Camelus bactrianus (Bactrian camel)
Lineage: Eukaryota; Metazoa; Chordata; Mammalia; Artiodactyla; Camelidae
Also listed under: 2 other names
Rfam family: tRNA
About the family: Transfer RNA (tRNA) molecules are approximately 80 nucleotides in length. Their secondary structure includes four short double-helical elements and three loops (D, anti-codon, and T loops). Further hydrogen bonds mediate the characteristic L-shaped molecular structure. tRNAs have two regions of fundamental functional importance: the anti-codon, which is responsible for specific mRNA codon recognition, and the 3' end, to which the tRNAs corresponding amino acid is attached (by aminoacyl-tRNA synthetases). tRNAs cope with the degeneracy of the genetic code in two manners: having more than one tRNA (with a specific anti-codon) for a particular amino acid; and 'wobble' base-pairing, i.e. permitting non-standard base-pairing at the 3rd anti-codon position.
Source: Rfam by way of RNAcentral
GAGGGGACAGCUCAAAUGGUAAGAGCGCAUGCUUAGCAUGCAUGGGGUGUUGGGUUCAAUCCCCUAUACCUCCU